This 2544-nucleotide long non-coding RNA is filed under the name Helianthus annuus (common sunflower). Lineage: Eukaryota; Viridiplantae; Streptophyta; Magnoliopsida; Asterales; Asteraceae. The record is from RNAcentral.
GCAGAUAAAAGUCUUACAUAAACCCUAUAUUUUCACAUUUUCCUUCCCAAUUUGUCCUCAUCUCCUAUUACAUCUCCGUAUAUCUACAUCAGUUUCUUCAUCUGAAGAGUUGCCUUUCAAUCUUUGAAUCUCUACAGCCACGAAUCUCUACAGCCACGUGUUCUGAAUUGAAGGCCACAUUGAAUUUGAUUUAGUGUUCCAAAUUGAAGGCCGAUUGAAUAUGCUCAGAACAUGGUCGCUUCAGAUUCUAAGGGAAAUUGAAUGCGGGCGUUCAAGGCUUGGAACGUUUGGGAUUAAAGCUGAAAUUGCAAUCAUAUAUUCAUCACACAUUUUUUCUCCACUCCUAUGUGAAACCUUCUGACUCUCAAGGUUGAAGAUUCAAUGUGUGCGGCGGUGGUGGUUGUGUUGGUCGUUCACUGAUUCAAGAUAAUUCCACCCAAAUUCUCCGUUUAGGGUUUAGUUACCUCUCGCUCGGGUGCGUUUUGAUGAUAAUUGCCUUCUGGGAGCACUAAAUACACUUAUUCAUGAUAGUGGCUUUGGUAGAGGAAAACUUGUGUGUCCUUUUUGUUUAGGUACUGGUUUACCCAAAAAUAAAAGGGCUUCUUCUGAGGCUUGAUGCCAAAGAGUUGCUGAAUAAGAUGUAUAAUGGGUGGUUAGAUCCAAACUCAAAGUAUACUCACGUGACCCAGCCAACACCAUGCAAUAAUGUUAAAAUCAAAAACCAGUGGAAGCUAUAGAUUUGAACCCGAGACCUCUGCUAAGGGAACUCCUUACCACUGUGCCGCCCCCUAGAAGGCUAUAUAUAUCGUUGGUCUAUUUGACCCUAAAAAGUCAAAUUUUACUCUAGGGAAUAGCGGUUGCGCGCAUUUUAUUUUUGAUAUUAUCUCUUUCUUCUUCACAUGUAGCAUAGGCUCCAAGGUUACUCUUGAAUACGGUGUGUAAGCCUGCAAAAACUUGCAUAUAUAGAAGCCACUCUAGAUACAUUUUUAACUUGAGGAUAGGUGAACUGCUGAUACUUUUCUAAAAAUUUUGAGGACUAGCUUUGGCCUUUGAUAGUUCAUAUGAUUCUGCAGUUAAAGAACGAGAAUUUGUUGUGAUUACAUGGUUUUCACAUUUUGGGCAAUGAAUUCACUCAUUUAAAGGGACUCCAUAUGAGAAAAAACUAAUCUUUACAAGGGUAUUUAUGUCCAUAUAACACUUGCCAUUAAAGUGUAGAAGUUUAUCCACUUUUGACAUGGUUUUCGGUUAUCCACUUUUGGUUCUCCUGUGAAAAUAGGUCCACCUUGACAAGGUACGUUUCUUUUUACUCAUUUGGCCUCUUACUUACCUUAGUCGGUUUCAUCGUAGCUGCAAAAAAAUAUAUUUAUCCAAGUCCGAAUAAAAUUUAUUUAUCUAUCCAUGAUUCUCUUGCCUCACAAUCAGUCAUUUUUGUCUAUUUUAUUAAAGGUCUGGGUUACAGUUACUUUCCAAAUGCACACUCAAUCAAUUUUUAAAAAUACACUUUUUUGCAAGUUUUGUCCCACAGAAAUGAAAAGUUACAAUAUGCACAAAGUCAACUGCUUUUUCAACGCAAACCAAUUUUUCUUAUGGAGGUGGUAUGAACAUACCAAUUAGCAAACCAUUGGGUAGUUCUGUAAUUAGGAAUGGGAUCAUGGGUGUUUCUGAUGAUGUGUUACAGGGUGGUAAUAUGGAGUUAGUGGGACCCGGAGUUACGGUAGCGGCAGUUGGGUCGCCUGUGGUUUUGUUCGUGAUACAUCUUCGGUUUCGUCUUUGCCUAAAGACUACGAAUGAUUAAGAACCAAGAAUUCGCUGCCCGAUCACAGGCUUGAAACUGGGUUUUUAUAAAGUGCGCCUAAGGCGGCGGCAUUGUUCUUGUGGUUGCAAAGAAAGCUCAUAGUCUUUUUGUUAGUGGAGCAAGUAUAGUUGCCAAGGUUACAAGGGACCAUGCGUUGCAAAACUAUAACUUUGAUGAAACUGCUGAAAAUAUGCAUAGAAACUUUGGAUCUGGGUAUCCCGGAGAUCCCAGCACUAAAGGUUGGUUAGAACAUCACAAGCACUCGGUAUUUGGUUUCCCAUCAUUGGUUCGCUUCAGUUGGGAUACAUGUGAAUCCUACUUCAAAGGUGGUGUUGAAGUGUUAUCGAUUCGCUGCCCGAUCACAGUCUUUUACGCUAGGUUUAAUAUAUGUCAAAAAAUAGGAACACCUUUUUAGAGUAGUUUAUAAAAGUAUUUGGGCUAAACAUAUAGAUAAGGCGGUUCAAACCUAUGCUCGACCUGCUUACCCAUGUGUUUCUUGGUUCGAAUCGAAACCUAAAUCCCUGCGUCUAAUAUGAAAUAAUGAACGGAACAAUUUUACUACCUCUCAUAAAAUAUUCAUUGAACAUGGGUGCCCACCCUUUUAUUAUUCUUUAUUAUGUUGACUAUGCUCUCUAGCCAUUUAAACCGUCAUAGAAGCUCAUAAAAUAAGAGACUAUGAACAUCGAGAUCCCAACACUUGAGGCUUGUUAUUUUUCCCUAAAUUAAUUUCAUAGAGAAACUUUUUUUUA